GAUUUUCGCGGUUAUAGCCCAGUUAUAAAAUUUGAGUUUAAAGACUUGCACGUGUUUAACAAUAUCAACAAAUAUAAACAACAUACAAUGAGUGAAUGUAUAUUUAUUAGUAAACGUUUACUUACAAGAAUAUGUACUUAUAAUUAGGUAUUUGUCGUUGAAUACUUUAUGUUAAUUGAGUAUCUACAUACUAUUAAUGUUAAUAAACAAUUGUAACACUUUCGUAUCAUAAAGUUUUUGUCUUAAGACUGUGUUGUAUUGCACUAUAACAGACAUAUAAAAUUAUUAACUACGUAAACAAAGCAAACACCAAAACACAACUGAUAAAACUUAACAAAACAAGUUGUAAAACAUAAAUAUACCUACUUAAUCAAUAUCGUUUGAACUAUACCCCAGAUUUCUGUCUGCGCAACUUAUGGUAUCUAAUUAUCUAUUUGAAUGUAGCUUGACUGCUAUAUAAUGCUUAAUUAUAUACAGUUACAUACACUGCUUUAUCUACACACAUUUUAUGAGCUUUCUAUGAUGUGUUCAGGGACCGCCUGUUACGACUGUCAUUGCGGCAUUGUACACUAUUUGUCAAAAUGUCAUCUCGACUGAUAGGUAUUAGAAUUGAGGUCAUAUCAAAUUCCAUUGAAUUUCAGAGACGUUAGAAAUUUGAAUAUCUGAUAUGUGUGUAGAUAAAGUUGUUUUAAGUUAUUGUAUAUUAACUUUAAUUAUGUAAGUAGUUCUGUUUGUUUCGAUUUGGCGGGAGCACCGUGCCCCCAGAUAUGAGCUACACUAAAAAUGUAUAAAUAUAAAAAAAUGUAUAACCUUUGUGUAAAAAAUAUAUAAUUAAGCUGCUAACAAUAAUAAACCCGUGUCUAAAUGUUUUAAAAUGACUAGGUGAAUUCUAU
Molecule: long non-coding RNA, 893 nt
Organism: Cydia fagiglandana
Lineage: Eukaryota; Metazoa; Arthropoda; Insecta; Lepidoptera; Tortricidae
Exons: 2
Source: RefSeq, a predicted model, not a curated record